This 253-nucleotide ribosomal RNA is filed under the name uncultured bacterium. RNAcentral describes it as "partial 16S ribosomal RNA". It matches the Rfam family "Bacterial small subunit ribosomal RNA", at positions 524 to 776 of the family's 1533-position model. The record is from RNAcentral.
UACAGAGGUCUUAAGCGUUGUUCGGAUUCAUUGGGCGUAAAGGGCGCGUAGGCGGCGGGGUAAGUCGGGUGUGAAAUCUCAGAGCUCAACUCUGAAAUGGCACUUGAUACUGCUCUGCUAGAGGACUGGAGAGGAGAUUGGAAUUCACGGUGUAGCAGUGAAAUGCGUAGAUAUCGUGAGGAAGACCAGUGGCGAAGGCGGAUCUCUGGACAGUUCCUGACGCUGAGGCACGAAGGCCAGGGGAGCAAACGGG